This is a long non-coding RNA of Patella vulgata (common limpet), 620 nucleotides long. RefSeq lists it as uncharacterized. The transcript is spliced from 3 exons. The record is from RefSeq and is a predicted model, not a curated record. Lineage: Eukaryota; Metazoa; Mollusca; Gastropoda; Patellidae.
CCUUACCACAUGGCGGUCAUGUGAUACGUGGUUGAGUAUAGUUAACAUGGCGGGAAGUUAAACUGGUAAAAUUUCUUGUAAAGAGCAAUCUAAUAUUGGAUUAUUGUUAGUAGAAUUUUGAUCAGACUGUAAAAUGGCGAACGUAGCAACGAACACACUGAUAAAGAGUGUAUUUCUUCUGUUAAAUUUCCUCAUACACUAUUCAGUUGACGGGAAGAAAUGUUUUACGUGUUCCUCACUGUAUGACAAUCGAUGUCGCGACCCUUUUACAUCUGUCAGUGAAUUUAUUGUUAACUGUCCACGUGGGAGCGAAUGUAGAAAGCUGAUUAUUGGAAACGAAAUUCGUCGAAACUGUUCAAAUGAUGGCGCCCAACCUCAAGAAUCCAGCUCUGAAAAAUUGGCAGAAGUUUGUUUUCAGCAACUUUUAAAGAUCACGGAUACCAUUCCGUUCGUUGGAACCAAAACAGAAACGCGCUUAGUAACCGUCUGCAACUGUGAACGUGCAUUAUGUAAUUUAAGUACAAAUUUAAUCUCGCCGCCAUUUUACUGCCAUACUUGCCUGGUUUUCAUAUUAAUAUUUAUUAUUUAUUACUGAGCUAAAAUAAAUAGAUUCACUCUCA